GCCUCGUUAGCUCAGUUGGUAGAGCGCGUUGACUUUUUAUAUCCUAACGGUCAGGGUUCGAGUCGCCGCUACGGGGCU
Non-coding RNA from Cooperia oncophora, 78 nucleotides. NCBI's taxonomy places the organism in Eukaryota, Metazoa, Nematoda, Chromadorea, Rhabditida, Trichostrongylidae. The record is from the annotation of a GenBank genome assembly.